CUUUAAACUGAUAGGGAAGUUUAUUUUGUUUUGAUACUUAUUUUAUACAGCGCAACAUGAAAAUAACAGGACACUCCUUACUUUAUGCCUGAGCUUUUAAAACAGGUUUAAAUGGAUAUAUUAACACAGUCAGGUUAAAAUGAAUAAUCAAACUACGGAACGUAUUAAGGAAUCUUUGGUUUCCUCCAAUCCCCAUGGUACCUCUGGAAGCGACUUUUUAAGUGUUCGAUGUCCUAAUUCUAAAGACGAGUCAGAUCUUCUUAGUGAAGUAAAUAUUAAAGACGACAGCGAAUCUCUUGCGGAAGCCUCGUUUGCAGGGGACGCUGAUGAAAAUAUAAAGGAUCCAUGAGCAGUUUGUUUUACUAAUCGUAAUUUUCCAAAGAAGGCUACUCACUUUUGUAAUGAUUGUGGACUUUUGGGACAUUUUCUGUGUGAACAAUGUUUGGGCUUUCACAAGAAGUUUACCAACCACAAGUCUGUUAAAUCAUUCGCCUCAGCAAAAUACAAGAGAGGUACACCAUCCAGUAAAAGGAACCCAAAAGAAAAGGACACACAGGAGCUACAAAAUGAGAUAGACAAAUUGAAGGAAAGGAUAGUUAUAUAUCGUAAUGAAUUAGACCCUGUCAAGAUAAGAGCAGAAUUAGACUUAACAGACGAAUCAAUGAUCAACGUUUUAAGGGAGGAAAAUUUAAGACUGAUAGCAGAAGUAAAAUCAUACCAAUCAAAGGAUUCUACAGGGAG
Molecule: long non-coding RNA, 741 nt
Organism: Ruditapes philippinarum (Manila clam)
Lineage: Eukaryota; Metazoa; Mollusca; Bivalvia; Venerida; Veneridae
Exons: 4
Source: RefSeq, a predicted model, not a curated record